This 112-nucleotide ribosomal RNA is filed under the name uncultured bacterium. RNAcentral describes it as "partial 16S rRNA". It matches the Rfam family "Bacterial small subunit ribosomal RNA", at positions 355 to 481 of the family's 1533-position model. The record is from RNAcentral.
UGGGGAAUAUUGCGCAAUGGAGGAAACUCUGACGCAGCAACGCCGCGUGAAGGAUGAAGGUCUUCGGAUUGUAAACUUCUUUGAUGAGGGACGAAGGAAGUGACGGUACCUC